UUGCUAUACGAGGUAUUGAAUAAGGCUUUAAUUGAGUGCUAAGAGAAUGAUUUAACAAAAAUUGACUUUCUUUUUAUUUAAAAUAAAAAUUGAUUUAAUAAUGAAAAAGUUUUUAUGAAUUUUUGGGACAAGAAGACCCUAUGAAUUUUUUUUAAAAUUUUAUUUAUUAUUAAUAAAGGAAAAUAAAAUAUUAUUUUAAAUUGGUUGGGGUGACUUUUAAAGAAUGAGUAUCUUUAAAAAGUAAAUAAUUUGAACCUUAAUUUAAGGUUAUUAGUAAAAAAUACUCUAGGGAUAACAGCGUAAUUAUUUUGGAUAGUUCAUAUAGAUGAAAUAGUUUGCGACCUCGAUGUUGGAUUAAGAUAUUUAUAUGAUGUAGAAGUUAUAUUAAAAAGUUUGCUCAACUUUUAAAUUCUUACUUGAUCUGAGUUCAGACCGGA
RNAcentral lists this ribosomal RNA (437 nucleotides) under Alectorobius yumatensis. RNAcentral's name for it is "Ornithodoros yumatensis partial 16S ribosomal RNA". The stretch from base 291 to 437 matches the Rfam family "Bacterial large subunit ribosomal RNA", at positions 2473 to 2620 of the family's 2925-position model. Lineage: Eukaryota; Metazoa; Arthropoda; Arachnida; Ixodida; Argasidae. The record is from RNAcentral.